This 75-nucleotide transfer RNA is filed under the name bacterium. RNAcentral's name for it is "tRNA-Glu". It matches the Rfam family "tRNA". From Rfam's summary of the family: Transfer RNA (tRNA) molecules are approximately 80 nucleotides in length. Their secondary structure includes four short double-helical elements and three loops (D, anti-codon, and T loops). The record is from RNAcentral.
GCCGCUAUCGUCUAGUGGUUAGGACAUCAGGUUUUCAUCCUGACGACCGGGGUUCGAUUCCCCGUAGCGGUACAA